RNAcentral lists this microRNA precursor (99 nucleotides) under Phlebotomus papatasi. Its description in RNAcentral is "microRNA mir-598". The record is from RNAcentral. Lineage: Eukaryota; Metazoa; Arthropoda; Insecta; Diptera; Psychodidae.
UUUUGAUUAUAAUUGUGGAGCUCAGAGGCAAAAUGACACAUAUCCUAUGGCUAAAGCAUAGGAUAUGUGUCAUUUUGCCUCUGAGCUCCACAAUUACGU